AUAACUGCAUUGACGGAGACAGUAUUUUUUGAACGUGGCUAAAGCGAUUCGGGGAUGGUGCAAGCUCGAACAAACAUUCAAAAAAGAAAAUCACUCCUGAGCAAAAUUACUGAACUUAAAAGCAUCAUUGCUUUUUUAGUAAGUGGUUUCGUAUACACUAGCGUUAAAGUGUCUAAGAGGUAAUCUAACCGUACGAUUAGAUUGCAAAUUAGGGUGGUACCACGAGUUAUAGCAACUCGUCCCUUUA
Molecule: non-coding RNA, 247 nt
Filed under: Ureibacillus sinduriensis
Lineage: Bacteria; Bacillati; Bacillota; Bacilli; Caryophanales; Caryophanaceae
Description: Lysinibacillus sinduriensis T-box sequence
Rfam family: T-box leader
About the family: Uncharged tRNA acts as the effector for transcription antitermination of genes in the T-box leader family. T-boxes are found upstream of many aminoacyl-tRNA synthetase genes and some amino acid biosynthetic genes usually in Gram-positive bacteria.
Source: RNAcentral